UUACAUAUGUAAUAUCGGUCAAAGGAGCAAUUCGCUUUGGGAUGAGUCCGCGGUCUAUUAGCUUGUUGGUGAGGUAAGAGCUCACCAAGGCGACGAUAGAUAGCCGGCUUGAGAGAGUGAUCGGCCACAUUGGGACUGCGACACGGCCCAGACUCCUACGGGAGGCUGCAGCUAAGAAUCUUAGGCAAUGGGCGAAAGCCUGACCUAGCGACGCCGCGUGGAUGAUGAAGGCCUUUUAGGUUGUAAAAUCCUUUUCUACAGGAAGAAUGGCUGUGCAAAAUCAGUUUGACGGUACUGUAGGAAUAAGCCCCGGCUAAUUACGUGCCAGCAGCCGCGGCAAUACGUGAGGGGCGAGCGUUGUUCGGAUUUAUUGGGCGUAAAGGGUGCGUAGGCGGAAGUGUAAGUUGGAUGUGCAAUCCCGAGGCUCAACCACGGAACUGCGUCCAAAACUACACUUCUAGAGUGCAGGAGGGGAGAUCGGAAUUCCUGGUGUAGGAAAAUCUUUAGAUAUCAGGAAGAACACCGGCGGCGAAGGCGGAUCUCUGGCCUGCAACUGACGCUGAGGCACGAAAGCCAGGGGAGCAAACGGGAUUAGAUACCCCGGUAGUCCUGGCUGUAAACGUUGUAUACUAGGUGUAUGAGGCAUCGAUCCCUCAUGUGCCAAAGCUAACGCAUUAAGUAUACCGCCUGGAGAGUAUGCACGCAAGUGUGAAAUUCAAAGGAAUUGACGGGGGCCCGCACAAGCGGUGGAGCAUGUGGUUCAAUUCGAUGAUACGCGAGGAACCUUACCAGGGUUUGACAUUUACUGGACCCCCCGAGAGAUCGGGGUUCUCUUCGGAGUUAGUGAACAGGUGCUGCAUGGCUGUCGUCAGCUCGUGUCGUGAGAUGUUGGGUUAAGUCCCGCAACGAGCGCAACCCCUAUCCUCUGUUGCCAGCGAUUAACGUCGGGAACUCAGAGGAAACUGCCGUCGAAAGGCGGAGGAAGGUGGGGAUGACGUCAAGUCCUCAUGGCCCUUAUGUCCUGGGCUACACACGUGCUACAAUGGCUGGUACAAAGGGUUGCCAAAUCGCAAGGUGGAGCCAAUCCCAAAAAACCAGUCUCAGUUCGGAUUGAAGUCUGAAACUCGACUUCAUGAAGCUGGAAUCGCUAGUAAUCGCGCAUCAGCACGGCGCGGUGAAUACGUUCCCGGGCCUUGUACACACCGCCCGUCACAUCACCCGA
This 1222-nucleotide ribosomal RNA is filed under the name metagenome. RNAcentral describes it as "bacterial SSU rRNA". It matches the Rfam family "Bacterial small subunit ribosomal RNA", at positions 184 to 1409 of the family's 1533-position model. The record is from RNAcentral.